ACGCUAGCUACAGGCUUAACACAUGCAAGUCGAGGGGAAACGAUAUUGGAAGCUUGCUUCCGAUAGGCGUCGACCGGCGCACGGGUGAGUAACGCGUAUCCAACCUGCCCACCACUUGGGGAUAACCUUGCGAAAGUAAGACUAAUACCCAAUGACGUCUCUAGAGGACAUCUGAAAGAGAUUAAAGAUUUAUCGGUGAUGGAUGGGGAUGCGUCUGAUUAGCUUGUUGGCGGGGUAACGGCCCACCAAGGCUACGAUCAGUAGGGGUUCUGAGAGGAAGGUCCCCCACAUUGGAACUGGGACACGGUCCAAACUCCUACGGGAGGCAGCAGUGAGGAAUAUUGGUCAGUGGACGAGAGUCUGAACCAGCCAAGUAGCGUGCAGGAUGACGGCCCUAUGGGUUGUAAACUGCUUUUAUAAGGGAAUAAAGUGAGUCUCGUGAGGCUUUUUGCAUGUACCUUAUGAAUAAGGACCGGCUAAUUCCGUGCCAGCAGCCGCGGUAAUACGGAAGGUCCGGGCGUUAUCCGGAUUUAUUGGGUUUAAAGGGAGCGUAGGCCGGAGAUUAAGCGUGUUGUGAAAUGUAGAUGCUCAACAUCUGCACUGCAGCGCGAACUGGUUUCCUUGAGUACGCACAAAGUGGGCGGAAUUCGUGGUGUAGCGGUGAAAUGCUUAGAUAUCACGAAGAACUCCGAUUGCGAAGGCAGCUCACUGGAGCGCAACUGACGCUGAAGCUCGAAAGUGCGGGUAUCGAACAGGAUUAGAUACCCUGGUAGUCCGCACGGUAAACGAUGGAUGCCCGCUGUUGGUCUGAAUAGGUCAGCGGCCAAGCGAAAGCAUUAAGCAUCCCACCUGGGGAGUACGCCGGC
Molecule: ribosomal RNA, 866 nt
Filed under: uncultured bacterium
Lineage: Bacteria
Description: bacterial SSU rRNA
Rfam family: Bacterial small subunit ribosomal RNA
Source: RNAcentral